This 254-nucleotide ribosomal RNA is filed under the name uncultured bacterium. Its description in RNAcentral is "partial 16S ribosomal RNA". It matches the Rfam family "Bacterial small subunit ribosomal RNA", at positions 524 to 776 of the family's 1533-position model. The record is from RNAcentral.
UACGUAGGGUGCAAGCGUUAAUCGGAAUUACUGGGCGUAAAAGGCUUGUAGGUGGCCACGCCAAGUCGGAUGUGAAAUCUCCCGGCUCAACUGGGAGGGGUCAUUCGAUACUGGCGGGCUCGAGGCCGGUAGGGGGAAGUGGAAUUCCCGGUGUAGUGGUGGAAUGCGUAGAUAUCGGGAGGAACACCAGUGGCGAAGGCGGCUUCCUGGACCGGUUCUGACACUGAGGAGCGAAAGCGUGGGGAGCGAUCCGG